Molecule: microRNA precursor, 83 nt
Organism: Homo sapiens (human)
Lineage: Eukaryota; Metazoa; Chordata; Mammalia; Primates; Hominidae
Source: Ensembl
CCAAAUUUAAAACUUAAACCUCUACUAAGUUUCCAUGAAAAGAACCCAUGGGAACUUAGUAGAGGUUUAAGUUUUAAAUUUGA